UUCCUUUACUUUCCUUUCAAUUCCUUCCUUCCUUCCUUCCUUCCUUCCCUUCCCUUCCCUUCCCUUCCUGAUUUUGGACUAAUUACUCUAGCUUAAUCAGAAUUACUGGGUCUAGGUAAUUCUGGAAUACAUAAUUCAAUUCUAAAGUAACAUAUAAACAACAAAGUGAGAUCUUGAGAAAUAAGACAGAUAAAGCAAGUCAUAGAAGGCCAAGAUCUGCAUCUAAGACAUAACUAUUUUUAAUUAGCAAAUGGCAGACAUUGUGCAGAACAAAAAUAAAAUUACACAAUUGAGAAAAACAGCCCUAAAAAUAAAGAAAAUAUCCCUACUCCUUCUGUCUGUGCUUUUCUUGCCAGUUUUACCCUAUCGGUUCUUCUUCUCUUAAGACCUGUGCAGUAGAGGACCUGAAUCCUAAGACCAGAAUCCAUCAUUCUGUUCCUACAAUCCUUGCCUCCCUCACAACCCAUAGCCAAGAGCAACUGGGAGAAAGAUAUUUUGAGUGCAUCUUCCAGUCUAAAUUUGACCUCUCUGUUUCUCACUCAAAGAGUCACCAUCUACAUAACCUGCAGGCACCUAUGCCUGCUAUCAUUUCUCAUAUGGAAUAGCAACAUAAAAAGAAUGAGUAUGCUUGUUGCUUUAGUGUAAAUAGGCUCCUAAACAAGGGCAAAUAUGAAAAAAAAAGUUCAAAGCAAAAAAAACAACAAGUCAGGUUUGGAGAUCUUGUUUUCUUUUUGUUAUUAUUUGCUCAUCAAGGACAAUGUGUAAAUGCAUCCUUCUCCAAUCAAGGGUACUCCAGAUGUCUUAUCCAGAAUUGAAGGAGCUCUAAUCUGAACACUGACUUUGUAAUAUCGCAAAGGUGCUUUCUUUGAAAAGGCAUAUGGACUUUCUC
Molecule: non-coding RNA, 889 nt
Organism: Notechis scutatus (mainland tiger snake)
Lineage: Eukaryota; Metazoa; Chordata; Lepidosauria; Squamata; Elapidae
Source: RefSeq, a predicted model, not a curated record